UACGAAGGGGGCUAGCGUUGUUCGGAAUUACUGGGCGUAAAGCGCACGUAGGCGGCGCAGCAAGUCAGGGGUGAAAUCCCGGGGCUCAACCUCGGAACUGCCUUUGAUACUGCAAAUCUCGAGUCCGGAAGAGGUGAGUGGAAUUCCUAGUGUAGAGGUGAAAUUCGUAGAUAUUAGGAAGAACACCAGUGGCGAAGGCGGCUCACUGGUCUGGUACUGACGUGAGACGCGAAAGCGUGGGGAGCGAACAGG
This 252-nucleotide ribosomal RNA is filed under the name uncultured bacterium. Its description in RNAcentral is "partial 16S ribosomal RNA". It matches the Rfam family "Bacterial small subunit ribosomal RNA", at positions 524 to 776 of the family's 1533-position model. The record is from RNAcentral.